UCAAAAGUCUUGCUAAAGGA
This 20-nucleotide non-coding RNA is filed under the name Rattus norvegicus (Norway rat). The record is from RNAcentral. Lineage: Eukaryota; Metazoa; Chordata; Mammalia; Rodentia; Muridae.